UACGGGGGGGGCAAGCGUUGUUCGGAAUUACUGGGCGUAAAGGGCUCGUAGGCGGCCAACUAAGUCAGACGUGAAAUCCCCAGGCUCAACUUGGGAACUGCGUCUGAUACUGGAUGGCUUGAAUUCGGGAGAGGGAUGCAGAAUUCCAGGUGUAGCGGUGAAAUGCGUAGAUAUCUGGAGGAAUACCGGUGGCGAAGGCGGCAUCCUGGACCGACAUUGACGCUGAUGAGCGAAAGCUAGGGGAGCAAACGGG
This 253-nucleotide ribosomal RNA is filed under the name uncultured bacterium. RNAcentral's name for it is "partial 16S ribosomal RNA". It matches the Rfam family "Bacterial small subunit ribosomal RNA", at positions 524 to 776 of the family's 1533-position model. The record is from RNAcentral.